GUGGGCCCUCGAAAUCCCGUUGCGGGGGGAUUCAGUCGGGAGGAGCGCGGGGAUCUCCGCGGCCGUCGGCACCGACCCUCAGCAGGGCGGAGCCGCGGUCUUGGUCCCCGUCCCGUCCGACGCACUUCCCCCCGCACAGAGGACGCCGCAGCCGGUUCGGCAGCGUGCUGCGCGAGUCUGCCGUGAGGGCGGGCCAGGCAGGUGGCGGAGCUCCGGUCCCCGCGACCGCUGCACCGUCGUUAGCCGGCCCGAUCCGUGGCGAGACGCCGGACCGAGGCGAACGGUCUCCCAUCCCGGGAGACCCCGCCGUCCCCCGCUUCCCAGGCGGCGCGAACCUGACCGGCCGGUGCCUGGCGCGGCGACGCGGUGCCACCCGAGCGCGGUGGCCCGCGCGUCGGGCUCCCCGGAGGCCGGAGGUGAUCGCGCGGGGGUGGUCAGACGGCUGGCGGCGAGUAGGUCGGUCACCCACCCGACCCGUCUUGAAACACGGACCAAGGAGUCCAACAUGCGCGCGAGUCGCCGGGUCUUGAACAGGCCCGGGGGCGCAAUGAAGGUGAGGGGGUCCGAGCAGGAUCCCGAAGUCGGGACCCGGGAUGCGACGUCCCGGGGCACCGACGGCGCGUGCCGACCCGGUUCCGCAAGGUUCCGGAGGGGCGCAGCCGGAGCGCGCACGUUGGG
RNAcentral lists this ribosomal RNA (678 nucleotides) under Holocnemus hispanicus. Its description in RNAcentral is "partial large subunit ribosomal RNA". The record is from RNAcentral. Lineage: Eukaryota; Metazoa; Arthropoda; Arachnida; Araneae; Pholcidae.